UACGUAGGGGGCAAGCGUUGUCCGGAAUUAUUGGGCGUAAAGCGCGCGCAGGCGGUCAUGUAAGUCUGGUGUUUAAUCCCGGGGCUCAACCCCGGAUCGCACUGGAAACCGCGUGACUUGAGUGCAGAAGAGGAGAGUGGAAUUCCACGUGUAGCGGUGAAAUGCGUAGAGAUGUGGAGGAACACCAGUGGCGAAGGCGACUCUCUGGGCUGUAACUGACGCUGAGGCGCGAAAGCGUGGGGAGCAAACAGG
RNAcentral lists this ribosomal RNA (252 nucleotides) under uncultured bacterium. Its description in RNAcentral is "partial 16S ribosomal RNA". It matches the Rfam family "Bacterial small subunit ribosomal RNA", at positions 524 to 776 of the family's 1533-position model. The record is from RNAcentral.